Budorcas taxicolor (takin) is the source of this 2358-nucleotide RNA transcript. It is a transcript of the gene named tripartite motif containing 47, with no coding region annotated. Lineage: Eukaryota; Metazoa; Chordata; Mammalia; Artiodactyla; Bovidae. The record is from RefSeq and is a predicted model, not a curated record. The transcript is spliced from 7 exons.
GCGAGCGGCGCAGGCGGUGCGCCGUGGCCGCGGAGCCAUGGACGGGAGUGGGCCCUUCAGCUGUCCCAUCUGCCUGGAGCUGCUCCGGGAGCCGGUGACACUGCCCUGCGGCCACAACUUCUGCCUCUUCUGCCUGGGCGCGCUCUGGCCGCACCGCGGAGCGGGCGGCGCCGGCGGCACCGGAGGCACGGAGCGCUGCCCGCUGUGCCAGGAACCCUUCCCCGACGGCCUCCAGCUCCGCAAGAACCACACGCUGUCCGAGCUGCUGCAGCUCCGCCAGGGCUCGGGCCCGGGGCCCGGCCCCGGCCCGGCCCCUACCCCGCCGGCCCCAGCCCCGGCCCCCGAGCCGGCAACACCCAGUGCGCCGCCCAGCGCCCCGGAGCCGUCGGCUCCCAGCGCGCCCGAGUCAUGGCCGCCCGGUGAGGAGCCGGUGCGCUGCGAUGCGUGCCCUGAAGGCGCCGCCCUGCCCGCCGCGCUCUCCUGCCUCUCCUGCCUCGCGUCCUUCUGCCCCGCGCACCUGGGCCCGCACGAGCGCAGCCCCGCGCUGCGCGGACACCGCCUGGUGCCGCCGCUGCGCCGGCUGGAGGAGAGCCUGUGCCCGCGCCACCUGCGGCCGCUCGAGCGCUACUGCCGCGCCGAGCGCGUGUGCCUGUGCGAGGCCUGCGCUGCCCAGGAGCACCGGGGCCACGAGCUCGUGCCACUGGAGCAGGAGCGCGCGCUCCAGGAGGCCGAGCAGCCCAAAGUCCUGAGCGCUGUGGAGGACCGCAUGGACGAGCUGGGUGCGGGCAUCGCUCAGUCCCGGCGCACAGUGGCCCUCAUCAAGAGCGCAGCCGUGGCAGAGCGGGAGAGGGUGAGCCGGCUGUUUGCCGAGGCUGCAGCCGUCCUGCAGGGGUUUCAGACGGACGUGCUGGGCUUCAUCGAUGAGGGGGAGGCGACCAUGCUGGGCCGCUCCCAAGGCGACCUGCGGCGGCAGGAGGAGCAGCGGAGCCGACUCAGCAGGGCCCGCCACAACCUCAGUCAGGUCCCCGAAGCCGACUCGGUCAGCUUCCUGCAGGAACUCCUGGCACUCAGGCUGGCCCUGGAGGAGGGGUGCGGCCCCGGGCCCGGACCCCCGAGGGAGCUCAGCUUCACCAAGUCCUCCCAGGCUGUGCGCGCGGUGCAGGUCGUCCUGGCCUCAGCCUGUUCCAGCCAGUGGGAGCAGCUGCGGGGGCUGGGCGGUGACGAAGACGGGCUGCAGAAGCCAGGCACAGAAGCAGACGCUGAGUCCCAGGACCCCGACAGCACCAACAACCUGGAGAGUGAGGCUCCUAGGGAUUACUUCCUCAAGUUUGCCUACAUAGUGGACUUGGACAGUGACACAGCCGACAAGUUCCUGCAGCUGUUUGGAACCAAGGGCGUGAAGAGGGUGCUGUGUCCUAUUAACUACCCCGAGUCGCCCACCCGCUUCACCCACUGCGAGCAGGUGCUGGGCGAGGGCGCCCUGGACCGGGGCACCUAUUACUGGGAGGUGGAGAUCAUUGAGGGCUGGGUCAGCGUGGGGGUCAUGGCCGAAGACUUCUCCCCACAAGAGCCCUACGACCGGGGCCGGCUGGGCCGCAACGCCUACUCGUGCUGCCUGCAGUGGAACGGACGCAGUUUCUCCAUCUGGUUCCACGGGCAGGAGGCACCCCUGCCGCACCCCUUUUCACCCACUGUGGGGAUCUGCCUGGAAUAUGCUGACCGAGCCCUGGCCUUCUACACCGUGCGGGACGGCAAGAUGAGCCUCCUACGGAGGCUGAGGGCCUCCCGGGCGCGCCGGAGUGGCACGCCGGCCUCCCCGGUUGACCCCUUCCAGAGCCGCCUGGACAGCCACUUUGCGGGGCUCUUCACGCGCAGACUCAAGCCCGCCUUCUUCCUGGAGAGUGUAGACGCCCAUCUGCAGAUAGGGCCCCUCAAGAAGUCCUGCAUAUCCGCGCUCAAGAGGAGGUGAUGCAGGGGCCCGGGGCCGCCUCCCGCUGCUGACCCAGCUCCUGGGAAGCUUGCUUCUCUGCACCCCUGGUUUGAACCAGAGAAGGCAACAGCCUCGGACCCCCACACAUUCCCCAGCCUUCUCAUUCCUAGAGGCCUCCACCUUCUGUACCCAAGGCCUUCCACCUCUCAGGGAGGAGGCCCCCCAGACCCUGUCCCCCUGCAGGCCUUGUUUCUGGGAGAAGGAACCGCAGCUGGGACAGUUCCAGGCUACCCUGACCCCUCCUCUCCCAGGUUCCUGGGACAGUGCCUGGCACAUACCUAGUUCUGGAACCUGCCGAAGGGUGUCUGCCCAAGAUUCAACGCAGACCUCACACUCCGCAAGAGCGGGGCAGGACUCCUGGGCGUGGG